Molecule: ribosomal RNA, 632 nt
Filed under: uncultured Johnsonella sp.
Lineage: Bacteria; Bacillati; Bacillota; Clostridia; Lachnospirales; Lachnospiraceae
Description: bacterial SSU rRNA
Rfam family: Bacterial small subunit ribosomal RNA
Source: RNAcentral
AAAUGAUUUAUAGGUAUAAGAUGGAUCCGCGUCCGAUUAGCUAGUUGGUGAGGUAAAGGCCCACCAAGGCGACGAUCGGUAGCCGGCCUGAGAGGGUGAACGGCCACAUUGGGACUGAGAACACGGGCCAAACUCCUACGGGAGGCAGCAGUGGGGAAUAUAGGACAAUGGGGGGAAACCCUGAUCCAGCGACGCCGCGUGAGUGACGAAGUAUAUCGGUAUGUAAAAGCUCUAACGACAGGGAAGAACAUGACGGUACCUGACUAAGACGCCCCGGGCUUACUACGUGCCAGCAGCCGCGGUAAUACGUAGGGGGCAAGCGUUAUCCGGAUUUACUGGGUGUAAAGGGGGCGCAGACGGCAAUGCAAGUCUGAAGUGAAAGGCCUGGGCUCAACCCAUGAACUGCUUUGGAAACUGUAUAGCUUGAGUGUCGGAGGGGUAAGCGGAAUUCCUAGUGUAGCGGUGAAAUGCGUAGAUAUUAGGAGGAACACCGGAGGCGAAGGCGGCUUACUGGACGACAACUGACGUUGAGGCUCGAAGGCGUGGGGAGCAUACAGGAUUAGAUACCCUGGUAGUCCACGCAGUAAACGAUGAAUACUUGGUGUCGGGGAGGUAACUCUUCGGUGCCGCAA